CUAAAGACAAGCAUGAGUCUAAAGGAAACCACUUACUUAGUUAAGCUGUUCCAGUUUAGCAAAUCUUCUCUUCUACAGGUCUUGGUGCGUUGCACGACUCUAUAAUUUGUUAUUCUGCCAGAAAAUGUGGACAACAGUGAAUGUGUUAGAGGCCUUUCCAUCCUGUUUUACCUGAUCUGUUUACUUGAAGCAGCAUGGAAGUGCCUGUCUGCGAUGGAUGAUGUGAAGGAAGGAUCCUCACUAAACUUUUUACCUGCUCUCUGCUACUAGGUGGAAUGUCCAUUUCCUCCUGUCUGCCACUAGAAAGAGAUGCUUUGUGCUUGAGAGGAACAAAUACCUACAGUCCAGACAAGAAGUCUGAAUAAACUGGUACAGUGAGUGUAAAGUCCACCAGCUACGCUGGGUCAACACAACUGGGCUGAACAUGCCAUACUGAGUUCAAAUUUCACCAAAUAUCAAAGAAUGCUGGAAAGUGGGGAGUGAUUUUCAUUUUCUGACUUCUGUACUUUCUCAUUUAUUUUUAUCAUCUGUAAAAUAAUCUCUAAUCACCGAUUCACUAACCCUAAUUGGGCAUUUUAAGGGCAGACUGACCUGUCUAGCGUAAUCAAUUUCUGGUUUAAAUAUAUGCCGUCUUUUACAACUAAUGAACUGAUCUCAACAAACCAUGGUAGAACAUUUAAAUACUAAAGCAUUUAAAAUUACAAUGAAACAAAUUUCAGCUGCUGAGCAUGUGAACACCAAAAUAACACCAAGCAGUGUAAAACAAGCCAGCUAAUGAUACAGAAAGAGCAUAAGUAGUGAAAAAUUAUAGACUGCAGUAAAGACAGUACCUGCAAAGAACUGUAAAGCAUCUUAUGAUACAAAGUGAUUGAGAAAUAAAGUGCAAUGUUACACCAAUACUUUUAUGUUACAGUAGAGUAAAUUAUAUUUGAUUUAUAUUCUACUAAAAACACUGGGUGUGGUAUGUUCAGUUAUGUUUAUGCUAUUUUAAAAAUAUUUCAUAAAAUGCUACAGUUUUAUACUUCUGCGAUUUGAUUAAAACCCUGGUGAAUAACUGUAGGACAAUGAGGAUGUAAGGAGAGGGAGACACUUGCACUGCCAGAAGUUCAGACUAUGACUUUGUUUUGUAGUGAUUAGCUCUGGAGCACUCACUUAAUAUUAGGUUAGAACUUCUAUCUGUUCACAGUGAAAUCAAUCUAGAAAACAGCUGACAAGCAGCAAAGAAGAAAAGUAGUAAAAUGAGAAAAUCUAUAUGCUGAUUUCUGAGCUUAUACACAUAGAACCACUAGCAAUUCAUAUUAAAAUUUUAUCAUGCACAGACAUCCUUAAUAUUACUUACAUGUGUUACAGAUGAGGGAGAGAAGAAAGAAAUUUAAUUUGCCCACAGCAGAAGGAGAAUUCAAAAGCAUAAAUAUAUAUGUAUAUUUUUACUAAAAAUCUUGAUAUAAAACAAAAUGAAAUAUUUAUAACUAUAUUACCUCUAUGUUUUUUUUUUGUCUGCAGGUUUUUUUUUUUUUUUUUUUUGCAAGAAAUAUUAUACCAAGGAAUAUAUCCAUAUUGCAUAGUCUAGUCUAUACUAGUCUACCACUACAACUGCUGGCUAAUUUUAUCUGAAUGCUACUCCAUCAUCAUACUGGCUCAAUAACAAUUAUAUACAUAAGCACAGCUGUUGGGUGUCAUCUAGACUACUCUCAACUUAUGUUCAUUGACUUUUUUUGGUGUCAAAUAUUGUUCUAUACCACUGCAGCUCCCUCCAUGAAAUAUUAUAGUCGAAUCAUCACUGGCUUUCUGCUCCUUCUAUUUCUAAUUUUAACUUCAGCUUUAACAUUUUGUUGUUUUUUCACAUAGAAAAAUAGACUAAACAAAGAUCACAAGUCUUCUUCUUGCAAAGACUUUUGGAAUUGACAAUUCCACUCACCCCAGACUAACUUACCACCCCUUCUCCUCUUGAACUGGUAUUGUUGUUAUCUCCUCAUCUGUGGUCAUGACAUCUGCAACCUUGUGCUUCAAAACCUACUAUAGGUAUUCAACAGAUCAUCUUCUUGCAUGCUUAUAUAACACAGUUUAUAUAGCCCUCUAUACCCCUCAAUCUUUGUUUUCUACUGCACGAAAAAAAUGUUCCUGGUUCUUAUUACAGUAUUUCUCAAUGCUGGUCUCCUUUUGGCCUAUUGUGUAGUUUCCAGAGCAACUCUGUGAUAGUAAAGAUGCGUGAUCUGUGCUUUUCAAAUUCUCUGAAAAAUGUCUUCAAUAUUCCCUUAUACCCAACAGUUUAUAGCUUCACAAAGAAAGACUCUUUAUUCAUUCUAUCUUUUUUUCAUGUCGCUGCACAAAACUCACUUAUUUGAUAAUAUGAAUACAAAUCUGAUUCACCAAGGAGAGAAUUACAACUUCUGCUGGGUAGCCAAGAAUUGAACAUAUCCAACUACCAUCACUAACAUGUCUUUCAAUCCCAGCAACCUUCUUCUUUGUCUCACAAGAUUUUAUGCCAGAUUUCAGCUUGCAAAUCCAUGCAUGGACUGUAAUUUUUCAUAUAUUUAUAGAGCACAUAUCAUUGCCUGCUACGUGCCCUGGCUGGGUUCCAGUUAUUGUAUAAGUGUAUUGUUUGGAGGAUUUUUAUAUGAGCAACCUUUAAAAAAAUAAAUUUUAUUUUUUACAUUUCAUAAACACUUUCUUAUCAUUUAUUAGUUAUUAUUAACAUAAAAAUUACUUAAAACUUCAAAUUUAAUCAUUUAAUACAGUUUCCUAGCAAUUGC
Long non-coding RNA from Gallus gallus (chicken), 2753 nucleotides. Lineage: Eukaryota; Metazoa; Chordata; Aves; Galliformes; Phasianidae. The record is from Ensembl.